Molecule: RNA transcript, 3885 nt
Organism: Marmota monax (woodchuck)
Lineage: Eukaryota; Metazoa; Chordata; Mammalia; Rodentia; Sciuridae
Exons: 2
Source: RefSeq, a predicted model, not a curated record
GGGCAGCUGAGGAAUUCUGCUGGGCGCAGAAGUGCCUGGGCGAAGAGCCUCCUGAGCAGGACCCACUGAUCCCCCCGCUUGUGUGAGGGGUGCUUGGGUGGUGGUGGCCUCUCCCUCAGGGCCUGGCCGUGGGCCGAGGGGGAAGCGGCCUCUGUCCCUGCAGGCUCCGGCUCUGCAGCGGCCUCCCUGCAGGUGGCGCUGGGCCACUGCCUUUAUGGCCAAUCCUCUCCCUGGGCCACCAUCUACCAGGCUUUGAUCUUCCUCUUAGGCAACAGUUUACAGAACCCACUGUUGAUUCAGGGAUCUGAGGCGCCUGAUGUGAAAUUGAAUAAACAUGACCCAGUGUCACUGUCCCCAGACUCUGGCCUCUGUCUGUGGUGAGCCCUGCCUGGACUGUAGCUGCGGCUCAUGGGGCCCUUUAUACACAGCGCCUGGCCCAAGAAGAGCAGGCUCCCUCCCAGGCCUGGACACGGCAGGACGGGGACCCUGGGCUCUUCCCAGGGUGGCUGAAGGCACUGCCUGGCCCCCAAACAGGGGCAGGACCUCGAGGACUGGCACGUGCCCCUCCUGAAGCCUGCACGCUUGCCCCUGGGGCCUGCCACUGCGGGGGCACUGAUAGAAUGUGCUGGAAGCUCUGCCCUCUGUGGGGUGGUGGCGCCCUGUGUGGUGAAACACAGAACUCGCCAGGAUGAUCUGCUGGCCCACGCCCGGCCCAGGGAGGAGCCAGGCUUCACGCUCACCCCUGCCGGGCAUGGUGACACCAUGGUGGCACUGGCACAAGGCUCCCCCAGCUCUGAGAUCCGCACACGCCUGCCCUGGGUGUGGGACAAGCUGGAUUCUGACAGAUCCCAGAUCUCAGGACCUUGUUCUCUGAGAAUUGCCUGCUCCAAAGCCCCUGGCAUCGCGGGGAUCUCCUGGGAGCCUGGACCCAGGAGGGUGGAGCUGAGAAGCGGCACUUCUGCAGAUUGAAAUUGAGCAAGGCUUCGCCAUGUUCUGGGCGCGGAGAAGAUCCCAGGAAGCCAGUGGCUUGUGGAUGGGUGAGCAGAUCCUGUCUGUGCAUGGAGGAGCUCAGUCCAGCCUCCCAACAGGCAGGAGCCCUGCAGUGCACAGUGACCCGGGUGGACCUGGAGGCCCUGGCGCUCAGGGGCCUGAGCCAAGCUCAGUAAGAAGCACCACUCUACCUCCUGGGGGCAGCAGAGGGUGGGCUCUAGGAGGCAGAGCACACGGUGGCUGCCAAGGCUGGGCAGGGCCACGGCACGUUGGCCCAAGGGGCCAAGUCCACGUGGGGUGGUCGGGGUCUUACUGACUGCAGUCAGGCCGCGUGUGCCAUCUGGAGACCUCCCACAUGCACAGAUGGGGCCGUGUGGUGCCGGGUGGAUGGCUGAUCAGCUCGCGGCUAAACCAUUUCACAGCGCGUGCGCUAAGCCAUCCCAGCGCUGCCCUCGAGAAAAACGAGUUCUAUUUGUCAAUUACACCCUAAAAAAAGCUGGGGGCAGGGGCAGGCACAGUGGCACAUGCCUGUAAUCCCACUGGUUUGGGAGGCUGAGCCAGGAGGAUCACGAGUUCAAAGCCAGCCUCAGCAACUCAGCGAGUCCCUGAGCAACUCAGCGAGACUCUUUCUAAAUUAAAAAGAAAGAAAAAAGGCUGGGGAUGUUGCUCAGUGGUCGAGUGCCCCUGGAUUCAAUCUCAGGUACCAACCAAUCAGUCAAUAAACAAACAAAUAAAUAAAAGCUGGGUGGAGAAAAGUAUCCCUGGUGCAGCCUGCCCCCACCACAAGAGGCAAUCGCUCCCCUUGUGGGAGGGGUUCAGACCUCUCAGCAGGUGGCCCCAGGACCUUUCUGCAUGUGCCUGGUCCUUGGCCCUCCUGUUGCCCCAUGAGGACACAGCCGGGCACUGCCUGGGCCCGAGUCACGGUGCAGGGUCGGCCAUCAGUCUCUCCCUCCUCCUCGACUCCACAUUUGGGGAUGGAAACUCCAGCUCUUGUCCGGGUCCUGCGGUCCUGGGCUGCAAGGGUGGCUGGGAUCACAACCACAGGGUGGCAUCUGGUGCCACAGAGACCUUCAUCUUCCUCUCUGCCCUCGGUACCCAGGAGAGGCGUCUCAGCCCCGGGGAGGCCAAUCAGAGGCUCUCGCAGGCCCAAGCCUUGGGCGCCCAGCUCAGCCCCACAGGGGCAACCUCGUCUAGGAGCACAAGGUCCAGAGGCUCCCGCCUGCCCUCCAGAGCGCCCCGGGGAAUGUGCCUGGACAGGUAGCCUUCUCUGCACAGAGGAUAUCUGAACUCGAAGACUUGGACUUGGACUUGGUCUUUGUUUGAAAGCAUGUCUUUAUUAUAGAACCCAAACCUGCUCAUGAGAGGGGGUUUUCAGAAUACCCAGGCACAAAGACAAAGGGCAGGGUGAGUCAUCUGUAAUGCGGCUGCCCAGAGGCGACUUCUGUUAAUUUUUUUUGGUGUAUUUCCUUCCUAAAGUUGUAUCUUUUUGAGGUUGUUGUGUAGAAAACAUGGCAACCAAGUCCCAGGCCCAAUCCUGCUCUUAAAAUAGAAAGCAGGCUCCUAAUCAGGAGUCUUUUCGCCAGGAGAGGCGAUACGUCUUAGCCAGGUUUGCGAGAGGAUGGUGUCUUCUCCCCCUUCCUUCUCGCGGCACAUUAAAUCAUGGAUGAAUACAAAUGAGUUCCUCAAUUAGAAUAAAAUACCAAGACGGUCCAGUGUGCUGCGUGGCCAUGGAGAGUUCAGCUGAUGGGGGAACCAGCAGGAGGAGCUGACGGGGCGCCCAGGGGGAGCCUGCUGGGCCCGGCUGCAGUCUGUGGGGAUGCGGCUGCUCCUCGGGAGCCCCCUGGAGGAGGUGGGUUAACUACUGAGGUUGGCCCAGCGCACACCCCCUGUGCACCCGCCAGGAGCCAGCCUGCACCGGCUUCUGGAACACUUCAGCAUGGGGCAGGACACCCCGGGCAGGCACUUAUGAGUUUGAUUCUGAGAUCAGUUCUCAGUGGUGAGGUGAGUGCGUUCCCCCCUAGGAGGGGCUCCGCCUGCUCCGAGGCCUCCAGGUCCCCUUCGCAGAUCUUCCUGGUCACCUCCCAUCAUGCAUCCAAGGAACCCUCACCUGGAGAGAGUUGCUGUGUCCAUGCCUGCCCCUGGCCGAUCUCAGCACCACCCCUGUGAGGCCACACUUGCUGUGAAGUCUUCAGAAGCACCAGGGCUCCUGGGCAGAAGGCAAAGUCAUAGCUGGGGUCACUGGCAGCUUCGACUAAUGACGACUUCUGAGGAGCCCUCGUUCAUCCCAGCUGGCUGCCGCAGGGCUGCGGUGGCUUUGCAAACAGGACUCUGGCCAUGUACGAUUUUAGUUAAUCCCAGACUUACUGAAUAUGCAGAAUCCCCAGGUAGUGUGCAAGGUCAAGAAAAACUUGGGUGUAACUGGUUCAGGGGAAGAGAAGAGGAUGUGAACACAGAUUCCGUCACUAAAGGACAACACUCUGCCUAAGCUUGAGACCUGAGCUGGUGGUGGUCGGUGGAGUUGGACUUGGCCAGCCAAAGUGGUGGUCACUGAGUGGACCAAGGUGGAGGACAGUGUGUGCUACUGAAAGUGGGUCAGCAGAGUGGGGAGGUGGAACAGGGGGCUGGUGGGCAGCUCAGCCUGGUGUUGAGGGUGUGGGGUGUGCCGGCUCCCAUCCAGUCAGUCCAAGCCACACGGGUAUGCAGCUGGAGAUGAUGCAGUGUGCUCUGGCUGGCACCAGGAACUGGUGGCCUCCCCUUCCACUGAAGCCACUGGAAGAGUUUUAUGUGGUUCCCUGGUCAAAACGAGACUCAGACAGGACCAUCAUUUAGCUGUAAUGACCACAUCAGACACAGUUUACACUAACAUAUCCAACAAUAAAUCCAUUUACAAUAGCA